GACGUAGGGCGAGAGCGUUGUCCGGCAUUAUUGGGCGUAAAGAGCUCGUAGGCGGCCUGUUGCGUCCGCUGUGAAAGCCCGGGGCUUAACCCCGGGUCGGCAGUGGAUACGGGCAGGCUAGAGGUAGGUAGGGGAGAAUGGGAUUCCCGGUGUAGCGGUGAAAUGCGCAGAUAUCGGGAGGAACACCGGUGGCGAAGGCGGUUCUCUGGGCCUUACCUGACGCUGAGGAGCGAAAGCGUGGGGAGCGAACAGG
Molecule: ribosomal RNA, 253 nt
Filed under: uncultured bacterium
Lineage: Bacteria
Description: partial 16S ribosomal RNA
Rfam family: Bacterial small subunit ribosomal RNA
Source: RNAcentral